AGCUUUAUAGUCAAUAAUGAUGUAAAAUUGCAAAUUUUAAGGGGUAGAUAUAAUACUAAGGCUU
RNAcentral lists this transfer RNA (64 nucleotides) under Nyctemera arctata albofasciata. RNAcentral describes it as "tRNA-Cys". Lineage: Eukaryota; Metazoa; Arthropoda; Insecta; Lepidoptera; Erebidae. The record is from RNAcentral.